Molecule: ribosomal RNA, 441 nt
Filed under: uncultured bacterium
Lineage: Bacteria
Description: partial 16S ribosomal RNA
Rfam family: Bacterial small subunit ribosomal RNA
Source: RNAcentral
CCUACGGGAGGCAGCAGUGGGGGAUAUUGCACAAUGGGGGGAACCCUGAUGCAGCGACGCCGCGUGGGUGAAGGAGUAUUUCGGUAUGUAAAGCCCUAUCGGCAGGGAAGAAGCAAGACGGUACCUGACUACGAAGCCCCGGCUAACUACGUGCCAGCAGCCGCGGUAAUACGUAGGGGGCGAGCGUUAUCCGGAUUCACUGGGUGUAAAGGGCGCGUAGACGGCCAUGCAAGCCAGGGGUGAAAGCCCGGGGCCCAACCCCGGGACUGCCCUUGGAACUGCAUGGCUGGAGUGCGGGAGGGGCAGGCGGAAUUCGUGGUGUAGCGGUGAAAUGCGUAGAUAUCAGGAGGAACACCGGCGGCGAAGGCGGCCUGCUGGACCGCGACUGACGUUGAGGCUCGAAAGCGUGGGGAGCGAACAGGAUUAGAUACCCUAGUAGUC